GUGAAUCAUCGAAUUUUUGAACGCAAAUUGCACUCUCUGGUAUUACGGAGAGUAUGCCUGUUUGAGGGUCAGUUUAAAUAAAAAUCGGUGUGGUUGCUGCCUUUCUUGGUGACGCACCGGAUUUUGGUAGUUCUGCGUUUGGUUAAGUGUAAUAUAAUUUUGCAUGAUUUUUUUCGAAUGUAAUUAAAUGAUUUUUUGUACGUUUGCGAUAUCGAUUACUUGGUGUGGUCAUGCUAAUGAUUCGCGUCUAU
RNAcentral lists this unclassified non-coding RNA (251 nucleotides) under Glomeraceae sp. RNAcentral's name for it is "partial contains 5.8S ribosomal RNA and internal transcribed spacer 2". The stretch from base 1 to 71 matches the Rfam family "5.8S ribosomal RNA", at positions 84 to 154 of the family's 154-position model. Lineage: Eukaryota; Fungi; Glomeromycota; Glomeromycetes; Glomerales; Glomeraceae. The record is from RNAcentral.